This 422-nucleotide ribosomal RNA is filed under the name uncultured bacterium. RNAcentral's name for it is "bacterial SSU rRNA". It matches the Rfam family "Bacterial small subunit ribosomal RNA", at positions 355 to 774 of the family's 1533-position model. The record is from RNAcentral.
UGAGGAAUAUUGGACAAUGGAUGGAAAUCUGAUCCAGCCAUGCCGCGUGCAGGAAGACGGCCCUAUGGGUUGUAAACUGCUUUUGUAUGGGAGCAAUAAGGACUACGUGUAGUUUGAUGAGAGUACCAUACGAUUAAGCAUCGGCUAACUCCGUGCCAGCAGCCGCGGUAAUACGGAGGAUGCGAGCGUUAUCCGGAUUUAUUGGGUUUAAAGGGUGCGUAGGCGGCGAUAUAAGUCAGUGGUGAAAUAUUUCGGCUUAACCGAGAGACUGCCAUUGAUACUGUGUUGCUAGAAUAUGGUUGCUGUGAGUGGAAUGUGUGGUGUAGCGGUGAAAUGCUUAGAUAUCACACAGAAUAUCGAUUGCGAAGGCAGCUCACAAAGCCAUUAUUGACGCUGAGGCACGAAAGUGUGGGGAUCAAACA